UAUCCAGAGUACCACGAGACACGUGAAACCUUGUGGGAAGCAGGGGGGACCACCCUCCAAGCCAAAAUACUGAUAUCGACCGAUAGCGCAUAGUACCGUGAGGGAAAGGUGAAAAGAACCCCUGGCGGGGAGUGAAAGAGAACCUGAAACCGUAUGUCUACAAACAGUCGAAGUCUGUAUAUAUAUCAGGACGACGGCGUGCCUAUUGAAGAAUGAACCGACGAGUUACUGUUGCUAGCGAGGUUAAGUGGAAAACAUGGAGCCGCAGCGAAAGCGAGUCUGAACAGGGCGUUCAGUUAGUAAUAGUAGACCCGAAACCGUAGUGAUCUAUCCAUGGCCAGGUUGAAGCACAGGUAAAAUUGUGUGGAGGACCGAACUCGUGAGCGUUGAAAAGCUUUGGGAUGAGUUGUGGAUAGGGGUGAAAUGCCAAUCGAACACGGAGAUAGCUGGUUCUCCCCGAAAUAGCUUUAGGGCUAGCCUCGAGGUUGAGAGUAUAGGCGGUAGAGCACUGAUCGGGCUAGGGGCCAUACCGGUUACCGAACCUAGUCAAACUACGAAUGGCUAUACUUAUACUCGGGAGUCAGACAGUGAAUGAUAAGGUCCAUUGUCAAGAGGGAAACAGCCCAGAACACCGACUAAGGUCCCAAAUGUUACACUAAGUGGCGAAGGAUGUGGAGUUUCCAAAACAACCAGGAUGUUGGCUUAGAAGCAGCCACCAUUUAAAGAGUGCGUAAUAGCUCACUGGUCGAGAGACUCUGCGCCGAAGAUGUCCGGGGCUAAAGUGUAAAACCGAAGUCGUGUCAUAUACAGCAAUGUAUAUGGGUAGGGGAGCGUUCUCAUCGGGCUGAAGCAGUACCGUAAGGAGUUGUGGACUGAUGAGAAGUGAGAAUGUCGGUAUGAGUAGCGAAAAGAAUGGUGAGAAUCCAUUCCACCGAAAGCCUAAGGGUUCCUGAGCAACGAUCGUCGUCUCAGGGUAAGUCGGGACCUAAGCCGAGGCGGAAAAGCGUAGGCGAUGGACAACAGGUUGAAAUUCCUGUACCGGUGUGAAUCGUUUGAUCGAUGGAGUGACACAGUAAGGUAGGUCAGCACGCGAUUGGAAGUGCGUGUUUAAGCAGGUAGGUU
This 1122-nucleotide ribosomal RNA is filed under the name Salmonella enterica subsp. enterica serovar Tamberma. RNAcentral describes it as "partial 23S ribosomal RNA". It matches the Rfam family "Bacterial large subunit ribosomal RNA", at positions 404 to 1526 of the family's 2925-position model. Lineage: Bacteria; Pseudomonadati; Pseudomonadota; Gammaproteobacteria; Enterobacterales; Enterobacteriaceae. The record is from RNAcentral.